GAUGUGUACCUUACCAGUACUCGUAGUAACUCCUGGGUAUUUGAUACCGGUGCCGUUGCUCAUAUUUGUAACUCACAGCAGGAGCUGCGGAAUAAAAGGAGACUGGCGAAGGACGAGGUGACGAUGCGCGUCGGGAAUGGUUCCAGAGUCGAUGUGAUCGCCGUCGGCACGCUGCCUCUACAUUUACCUACGGGAUUAGUUUUGAACCUUAAUAAUUGUUAUUUAGUGCCAAGUUUGAGCAUGAACAUUGUAUCUGGAUCUCGUUUAAUACGAGAUGGCUACUCAUUUAAGUCUGAGAAUAAUGGUUGUUCGAUUUAUAUGAGAGAUAUGUUUUAUGGUCAUGCUCCGAUGGUCAAUGGUUUAUUCUUAAUGAAUCUCGAGCGUAAUAUUACACAUGUUCAUAGUGUAGAUGCCAAAAGAUUUAAAGUUGAUAACGAUAGUCCCACAUAC
This 450-nucleotide ribosomal RNA is filed under the name Triticum aestivum (bread wheat). RNAcentral describes it as "partial small subunit ribosomal RNA". The record is from RNAcentral. Lineage: Eukaryota; Viridiplantae; Streptophyta; Magnoliopsida; Poales; Poaceae.